GCCGGAGUGGCGAAAUUGGUAGACGCACACGACUCAAAAUCGUGCGAGCCUAGCUCAUGAGAGUUCGAGUCUCUCCUCCGGCA
Molecule: transfer RNA, 83 nt
Filed under: Candidatus Kerfeldbacteria bacterium CG_4_9_14_3_um_filter_45_8
Lineage: Bacteria; Candidatus Kerfeldiibacteriota
Also listed under: 1 other name
Description: tRNA-Leu
Rfam family: tRNA
About the family: Transfer RNA (tRNA) molecules are approximately 80 nucleotides in length.
Source: RNAcentral